UGACCACUCGUAAGCGAGUCAAGGCCAUGCGGACAGCCGGGUCAACUGCCGA
This 52-nucleotide small RNA is filed under the name uncultured Butyricicoccus sp. RNAcentral describes it as "Streptococcus sRNA SpF59 (ldcC RNA)". It matches the Rfam family "Streptococcus sRNA SpF59 (ldcC RNA)". Lineage: Bacteria; Bacillati; Bacillota; Clostridia; Eubacteriales; Butyricicoccaceae. The record is from RNAcentral.